CACGUAGUUGGCCGGUGCUUCUUCUCCAGGUACCGUCAAUUGCUCUUCGUCCCUGGCGAAAGAGGUUUACAACCCGAAGGCCGUCAUCCCCCACGCGGCGUCGCUGCGUCAGGCUUCCGCCCAUUGCGCAAUAUUCCCCACUGCUGCCUCCCGUAGGAGUCUGGGCCGUGUCUCAGUCCCAGUGUGGCCGGUCGCCCUCUCAGGCCGGCUACCCGUCACCGCCUUGGUAGGCCAUCACCCCACCAACAAGCUGAUAGGCCGCGGGCCCAUCCCCCACCGAAAAACUUUCCACCACCAACCAUGCGAUCAAUGGUCCUAUCCGGUAUUAGACCCAGUUUCCCAGGCUUAUCCCAGAGUGGAGGGCAGGUCACCCACGUGUUACUCACCCGUUCGCCGCUCGUGUACCCCCGAAGGGCCUUACCGCUCGACUUGCAUGUGUUAAGCACGCCGCCAGCGUUCGUCCUGAGCCAGGAUCAAACUCU
This 482-nucleotide ribosomal RNA is filed under the name uncultured Pseudonocardia sp. RNAcentral describes it as "partial 16S ribosomal RNA". Lineage: Bacteria; Bacillati; Actinomycetota; Actinomycetes; Pseudonocardiales; Pseudonocardiaceae. The record is from RNAcentral.